UUAUAGUUGCUUCUUGGUUCUUGAAUCCGCUUCUUCGUCUUCUUGUUCUUCUCCCAUCGAAUGUAAAGGAUGGAGGCUUUUUAACAGAGGCUACAUAUCUCAAAAACUCAGAGAAGAACUGACAAGGGCACUAAUGGAAGUGAAAGAUGGCAACAUUGUUGAGGGUGGAACAGAG
Molecule: long non-coding RNA, 175 nt
Organism: Hibiscus syriacus
Lineage: Eukaryota; Viridiplantae; Streptophyta; Magnoliopsida; Malvales; Malvaceae
Exons: 3
Source: RefSeq, a predicted model, not a curated record